This 253-nucleotide ribosomal RNA is filed under the name uncultured bacterium. RNAcentral describes it as "partial 16S ribosomal RNA". It matches the Rfam family "Bacterial small subunit ribosomal RNA", at positions 524 to 776 of the family's 1533-position model. The record is from RNAcentral.
UACGGAGGAUGCAAGCGGUAUCCGGAAUGAUUGGGCGUAAAGCGUCCGCAGGUGGUUGUGUGUGUCUAUUGUCAAAGCAUCAUGCUUAACAUGAUAAAGGCAGUAGAAACUACACGACUAGAGUGCGUUCGGGGCAGAGGGAAUUCCUGGUGUAGCGGUGAAAUGCGUAGAGAUCAGGAAGAACACCGGUGGCGAAAGCGCUCUGCUAGGCCGCAACUGACGCUGAGGUACGAAAGCUAGGGGAGCGAAUGGG